This 805-nucleotide ribosomal RNA is filed under the name Streptomyces chattanoogensis. Its description in RNAcentral is "bacterial SSU rRNA". It matches the Rfam family "Bacterial small subunit ribosomal RNA", at positions 58 to 877 of the family's 1533-position model. The record is from RNAcentral. Lineage: Bacteria; Bacillati; Actinomycetota; Actinomycetes; Kitasatosporales; Streptomycetaceae.
CAAGUCGAACGAUGAACCACUUCGGUGGGGAUUAGUGGCGAACGGGUGAGUAACACGUGGGCAAUCUGCCCUGCACUCUGGGACAAGCCCUGGAAACGGGGUCUAAUACCGGAUACUGACCCUCGCGGGCAUCUGCGAGGUUCGAAAGCUCCGGCGGUGCAGGAUGAGCCCGCGGCCUAUCAGCUUGUUGGUGAGGUAAUGGCUCACCAAGGCGACGACGGGUAGCCGGCCUGAGAGGGCGACCGGCCACACUGGGACUGAGACACGGCCCAAACUCCUACGGGAGGCAGCAGUGGGGAAUAUUGCACAAUGGGCGAAAGCCUGAUGCAGCGACCCCGCGUGAGGGAUGACGGCCUUCGGGUUGUAAACCUCUUUCAGCAGGGAAGAAGCGAAAGUGACGGUACCUGCAGAAGAAGCGCCGGCUAACUACGUGCCAGCAGCCGCGGUAAUACGUAGGGCGCAAGCGUUGUCCGGAAUUAUUGGGCGUAAAGAGCUCGUAGGCGGCUUGUCACGUCGGUUGUGAAAGCCCGGGGCUUAACCCCGGGUCUGCAGUCGAUACGGGCAGGCUAGAGUUCGGUAGGGGAGAUCGGAAUUCCUGGUGUAGCGGUGAAAUGCGCAGAUAUCAGGAGGAACACCGGUGGCGAAGGCGGAUCUCUGGGCCGAUACUGACGCUGAGGAGCGAAAGCGUGGGGAGCGAACAGGAUUAGAUACCCUGGUAGUCCACGCCGUAAACGGUGGGCACUAGGUGUGGGCAACAUUCCACGUUGUCCGUGCCGCAGCUAACGCAUUAAGUGCCCCGCCUGGG